RNAcentral lists this transfer RNA (76 nucleotides) under bacterium BMS3Abin07. RNAcentral describes it as "tRNA-Thr". It matches the Rfam family "tRNA". Rfam says of the family: Transfer RNA (tRNA) molecules are approximately 80 nucleotides in length. RNAcentral also lists the same sequence under 3 other names. The record is from RNAcentral.
GCCGAGGUAGCUCAGCUGGUAGAGCAGCUGAUUCGUAAUCAGCAGGUCGGGAGUUCGAAUCUCCUCCUCGGCUCCA